Acyrthosiphon pisum (pea aphid) is the source of this 978-nucleotide long non-coding RNA. RefSeq lists it as uncharacterized. The record is from RefSeq and is a predicted model, not a curated record. The transcript is spliced from 2 exons. Lineage: Eukaryota; Metazoa; Arthropoda; Insecta; Hemiptera; Aphididae.
AUACAUAUCUGUGGCUGUAUCACUGAUUAUACUGUGACUUCUGUGACAAUCUUGAGUCCAUGAUAAAAUAGAUACUAGAUAGGUAUCAUCACUAUCGUCCAUACUCUAUGCUAUCAUCACAGUUGUAUUAGUUUUUUUUAGUUUGCGGCACCGAUGUAUUCGAUUAAUCGAUGUAUCGUUGCCAUCCCUAAUUAUUCUUAUUCUAUGGGCAUCUCCUUCACCUCCGGCUAAUGUCGUAAUUCUCCAUUUCUUAAAAGCCUAUCAUUAAAGAUAAAAAAAAUAACAAAUAGCAGUCCAAUGCUCAUGUAAAAAAAUGUUUUGGACAAUUGGACAUAGACCAAAGCGACAUGCAUCAAAUAUAUUUUCAGUUGACAAUGAAAUACAUGGUGCGACGUAUAUAUAUAGUAGUAUAUAGUAUUUGAUGACGUCUAUGACUCAAACUCACUGUCAGAUUAUACAAAUAUUGUAAGCAACUACCUAUUUUGAUAAUAUCAAAGACUCAAGAGUUCAAGACUCAAACAAGUAACAACUCAAACUCAAUAGUCAAUAGUCAAAAGUCAAUAAUACUAGUAUAUUAUACUCAAUACCAAGAAAAUGGAUAUAUUUAAUUGUGCUCAAUACUGAACUUUAAUGAUUCAUGGUCUACAAUCUACAUAACUGCACUCUACAAUAUUUAAAUACUUAAAUACUUAAUGGUAAAUAUUCUAGUCAAUACCAUAUUACCAUGGGUAAACAAUUUAUUAAUUGAAUAACUUAUGGUCAAUUAGUAUAAAAAAAAUACUUGUCAAUUGUCACUCAAUAGUGAGAUUAAUCUAUAUUCAAUAAUAAUUUACAUAAAACUUACAAACGCAUGGAGUUUAUAAGUAUAUUAUAACGGCUUGUGAUGCUAUUGGACUUUUUUGACUUGUAGAAUUUAUAUUUGUUAAACGUAAAUAUAAAAACAAUACAAACGUCAGGUUUUAAAUGACGCUGUUUGGA